CCCUUAGAUGUCCUGGGCCGCACGCGCGCUACACUGAUGCAUUCAACAAGUUCUACCUUGGCCGAGAGGCCUGGGAAAUCUUUCAAAUAUGUAUCGUGAUAGGGAUAGAUUAUUGCAAUUAUUAAUCUUGAACGAGGAAUUCCUAGUAAAUGCAGAUCAUCAUUCUGCGUUGAUUACGUCCCUGCCCUUUGUACACACCGCCCGUCGCACCUACCGAUUGAAUGAUCCGGUGAAGCCUCGGGAUUGUGCCCAGAGAACUUUAUUGUGAUUUGGGUGUGAGAACUUGUCUAAACCUUAUCAUUUAGAGGAAGGUGAAGUCGUAACA
This 325-nucleotide ribosomal RNA is filed under the name uncultured eukaryote. Its description in RNAcentral is "partial 18S ribosomal RNA". It matches the Rfam family "Eukaryotic small subunit ribosomal RNA", at positions 1470 to 1796 of the family's 1831-position model. The record is from RNAcentral.